UACGAAGGGGGCUAGCGUUGCUCGGAAUGACUGGGCGUAAAGGGCGCGUAGGCGGUUUGGACAGUCAGGCGUGAAAUUCCUGGGCUCAACCUGGGGGCUGCGUUUGAUACGUGUUGUCUGGAGUUCGGAAGAGGGUCGUGGAAUUCCCAGUGUAGAGGUGAAAUUCGUAGAUAUUGGGAAGAACACCGGUGGCGAAGGCGGCGACCUGGUCCGAUACUGACGCUGAGGCGCGAAAGCGUGGGGAGCAAACAGG
This 253-nucleotide ribosomal RNA is filed under the name uncultured bacterium. Its description in RNAcentral is "partial 16S ribosomal RNA". It matches the Rfam family "Bacterial small subunit ribosomal RNA", at positions 524 to 776 of the family's 1533-position model. The record is from RNAcentral.